This 523-nucleotide ribosomal RNA is filed under the name uncultured bacterium. RNAcentral describes it as "bacterial SSU rRNA". It matches the Rfam family "Bacterial small subunit ribosomal RNA", at positions 777 to 1304 of the family's 1533-position model. The record is from RNAcentral.
AAUAGAUACCCUGGUAGUCCACGCCGUAAACGAUGGAUACUAGCUGUUUGGUUGUAAGACUGAGUGGCUAAGCGAAAGUGAUAAGUAUCCCACCUGGGGAGUACGGGCGCAAGCCUGAAACUCAAAGGAAUUGACGGGGGCCCGCACAAGCGGUGGAGCAUGUGGUUUAAUUCGAUGAUACGCGAGGAACCUUACCAGGGCUUAAAUGUAGUGGGACAGGCUUGGAAACAGGCCCUUCUUCGGACUCAUUACAAGGUGCUGCAUGGUUGUCGUCGGCUCGUGCCGUGAGGUGUCAGGUUAAGUCCUAUAACGAGCGCAACCCCUGUCGUUAGUUGCCAGCGAGUCAUGUCGGGAACUCUAACGAGACUGCCGGUGCAAACCGUGAGGAAGGUGGGGAUGACGUCAAAUCAUCACGGCCCUUACGUCCUGGGCUACACACGUGCUACAAUGGGCGCUACAGAGGGAUGCGAGACCGCGAGGUGGAGCCAAUCCCGACAAAAGCGCUCUCAGUUCGGAUUGCAGG